RNAcentral lists this ribosomal RNA (497 nucleotides) under uncultured bacterium. RNAcentral describes it as "partial 16S ribosomal RNA". It matches the Rfam family "Bacterial small subunit ribosomal RNA", at positions 28 to 507 of the family's 1533-position model. The record is from RNAcentral.
GAUGAACGCUGGCGGCGUGCCUAAUACAUGCAAGUCGAGCGAACGGACGAGAAGCUUGCUUUUCUGAUGUUAGCGGCGGACGGGUGAGUAACACGUGGAUAACCUACCUAUAAGACUGGGAUAACUUCGGGAAACCGGAGCUAAUACCGGAUAAUAUUUUGAACCGCAUGGUUCAAAAGUGAAAGACGGUCUUGCUGUCACUUAUAGAUGGAUCCGCGCUGCAUUAGCUAGUUGGUAAGGUAACGGCUUACCAAGGCAACGAUGCAUAGCCGACCUGAGAGGGUGAUCGGCCACACUGGAACUGAGACACGGUCCAGACUCCUACGGGAGGCAGCAGUGGGGAAUCUUGCGCAAUGGGCGAAAGCCUGACGGAGCAACGCCGCGUGAGUGAUGAAGGUCUUCGGAUCGUAAAACUCUGUUAUUAGGGAAGAACAUAUGUGUAAGUAACUGUGCACAUCUUGACGGUACCUAAACAGAAAGCCACGGCUAACUACGUG